This 427-nucleotide ribosomal RNA is filed under the name uncultured bacterium. RNAcentral's name for it is "partial 16S ribosomal RNA". It matches the Rfam family "Bacterial small subunit ribosomal RNA", at positions 354 to 796 of the family's 1533-position model. The record is from RNAcentral.
GUGGGGAAUAUUGGGCAAUGGGGGAAACCCUGACCCAGCGACGCCGCGUGAGGGAAGAAGGCCUUAGGGUCGUAAACCUCUGUUGUGUGGGAAGAAGAGCGUGACGGUACCACACGAGGAAGUCCCGGCUAACUACGUGCCAGCAGCCGCGGUAAUACGUAGGGGACGAGCGUUGUCCGGAUUUACUGGGCGUAAAGGGCGCGUAGGCGGUCAUUUAAGUCAGCUGUGAAAUGGUUUGGCUUAACCGGAUCAUGCGGUUGAAACUGGAUGACUGGAGUGCUGGAUAGGCAAGUGGAAUGCCCAGUGUAGCGGUGAAAUGCGUAGAUAUUGGGAAGAACACCGGUGGCGAAGGCGACUUGCUGGCCAGCAACUGACGCUGAGGCGCGAAAGCCAGGGGAGCAAACGGGAUUAGAUACCCGGGUAGUCC